Molecule: ribosomal RNA, 253 nt
Filed under: uncultured bacterium
Lineage: Bacteria
Description: partial 16S ribosomal RNA
Rfam family: Bacterial small subunit ribosomal RNA
Source: RNAcentral
UACGGAGGGGACUAGCGUUGUUCGGAAUUACUGGGCGUAAAGCGCGCGUAGGCGGAUUUGCAAGUCGGGGGUGAAAGCCCGAGGCUCAACCUCGGAACUGCCUUCGAUACUGCAAAUCUCGAGUCCGAGAGAGGUGAGUGGAAUUCCUAGUGUAGAGGUGAAAUUCGUAGAUAUUAGGAAGAACACCAGUGGCGAAGGCGGCUCACUGGCGCGGUACUGACGCUGAGGCGCGAAAGCGUGGGGGGCAAACAGG